RNAcentral lists this ribosomal RNA (252 nucleotides) under uncultured bacterium. RNAcentral describes it as "partial 16S ribosomal RNA". It matches the Rfam family "Bacterial small subunit ribosomal RNA", at positions 524 to 776 of the family's 1533-position model. The record is from RNAcentral.
UACGGAGGGGGCUAGCGUUGUUCGGAAUUACUGGGCGUAAAGCGCACGUAGGCGGCUUUUUAAGUCAGAGGUGAAAGCCCGGGGCUCAACCCCGGAAUUGCCUUUGAGACUGGAUCGCUUGAACGUCGGAGAGGUGAGUGGAAUUCCGAGUGUAGAGGUGAAAUUCGUAGAUAUUCGGAAGAACACCAGUGGCGAAGGCGGCUCACUGGACGACUGUGACGCUGAGGUGCGAAAGCGUGGGGAGCAAACAGG